Gopherus evgoodei (Goodes thornscrub tortoise) is the source of this 83-nucleotide non-coding RNA. NCBI's taxonomy places the organism in Eukaryota, Metazoa, Chordata, Testudines, Testudinidae. The record is from the annotation of a RefSeq genome assembly.
GUAGUUGUGGCUGAGUGGUUAAGGCAAUGGACUAGGAAUCCAUUGGGGUCUUCCCCACGCAGCUUCAAAUCCUGUCAACUACG